UUCAGGAUGGCUAAGUGGUUAUGGCUUCGGAUUUCUAAUCCGAUUGACUGUUGCGUCUGUAGGUUCGAUUCCUGCUCCUGGAC
RNAcentral lists this transfer RNA (83 nucleotides) under Trichonephila inaurata madagascariensis. RNAcentral describes it as "tRNA-Arg". It matches the Rfam family "tRNA". Rfam says of the family: Transfer RNA (tRNA) molecules are approximately 80 nucleotides in length. Their secondary structure includes four short double-helical elements and three loops (D, anti-codon, and T loops). The record is from RNAcentral. Lineage: Eukaryota; Metazoa; Arthropoda; Arachnida; Araneae; Nephilidae.